AAGGCCCUAGCUUAAUUAAAGUAUCUGGGUUGCAUUCAGGGGAUGCAGGUUAGCACCCUGCGGGUCUUA
RNAcentral lists this transfer RNA (69 nucleotides) under Sceloglaux albifacies (Laughing owl). Its description in RNAcentral is "tRNA-Ala". It matches the Rfam family "tRNA". From Rfam's summary of the family: Transfer RNA (tRNA) molecules are approximately 80 nucleotides in length. Their secondary structure includes four short double-helical elements and three loops (D, anti-codon, and T loops). Further hydrogen bonds mediate the characteristic L-shaped molecular structure. tRNAs have two regions of fundamental functional importance: the anti-codon, which is responsible for specific mRNA codon recognition, and the 3' end, to which the tRNAs corresponding amino acid is attached (by aminoacyl-tRNA synthetases). tRNAs cope with the degeneracy of the genetic code in two manners: having more than one tRNA (with a specific anti-codon) for a particular amino acid; and 'wobble' base-pairing, i.e. permitting non-standard base-pairing at the 3rd anti-codon position. The record is from RNAcentral. Lineage: Eukaryota; Metazoa; Chordata; Aves; Strigiformes; Strigidae.